This 795-nucleotide ribosomal RNA is filed under the name uncultured bacterium. RNAcentral describes it as "bacterial SSU rRNA". It matches the Rfam family "Bacterial small subunit ribosomal RNA", at positions 8 to 798 of the family's 1533-position model. The record is from RNAcentral.
AGAGUUUGAUCAUGGCUCAGAUUGAACGCUGGCGGAAUGCUUUACACAUGCAAGUCGAGCGGCAGCGCGGGGGCAACCCUGGCGGCGAGCGGCGAACGGGUGAGUAACAUAUCGGAACGUACCCCGUCGUGGGGGAUAACACAGCGAAAGUUGUGCUAAUACCGCAUACGACCUGAGGGUGAAAGCGGGGGACCGUAAGGCCUCGCGCGAUGGGAGCGGCCGAUAUCGGAUUAGCUAGUUGGUGAGGUAAAGGCUCACCAAGGCGACGAUCCGUAGCUGGUCUGAGAGGACGACCAGCCACACUGGAACUGAGACACGGUCCAGACUCCUACGGGAGGCAGCAGUGGGGAAUUUUGGACAAUGGGGGCAACCCUGAUCCAGCCAUUCCGCGUGAGUGAAGAAGGCCUUCGGGUUGUAAAGCUCUUUCGGCAGGAACGAAACGGUGGUCCUUAAUACGGGCUACUAAUGACGGUACCUGAAGAAGAAGCACCGGCUAACUACGUGCCAGCAGCCGCGGUAAUACGUAGGGUGCGAGCGUUAAUCGGAAUUACUGGGCGUAAAGCGUGCGCAGGCGGUUCCAUAAGACAGAUGUGAAAUCCCCGGGCUUAACCUGGGAACUGCGUUUGUGACUGUGGGACUCGAGUGUGGCAGAGGGGGGUGGAAUUCCACGUGUAGCAGUGAAAUGCGUAGAGAUGUGGAGGAACACCGAUGGCGAAGGCAGCCCCCUGGGUCAACACUGACGCUCAUGCACGAAAGCGUGGGGAGCAAACAGGAUUAGAUACCCUGGUAGUCCCC